Molecule: ribosomal RNA, 412 nt
Filed under: uncultured bacterium
Lineage: Bacteria
Description: bacterial SSU rRNA
Rfam family: Bacterial small subunit ribosomal RNA
Source: RNAcentral
AUUGAACGCUGGCGGCGCGCCUAAUACAUGCAAGUCGAGCGAGAAGGUGUAGCAAUACACUUGUAAAGCGGCGAACGGGUGAGGAAUGCAUGGGUAACCUACCCUCGAGUGGGGAAUAACUAGCCGAAAGGUUAGCUAAUACCGCAUACGUUUCCGGAACUUCGGUUUCGGAAAGAAAGCAAUACCGUGGGUAUUGCGCUCCUGGAUGGGCUCAUGUCCUAUCAGCUUGUUGGUGAGGUAACGGCUCACCAAGGCUUCGACGGGUAGCUGGUCUGAGAGGACGAUCAGCCACACUGGCACUGCGACACGGGCCAGACUCCUACGGGAGGCAGCAGUAAGGAAUAUUGCGCAAUGGACGAAAGUCUGACGCAGCGACGCCGCGUGGGGGAUGAAGGUCUUCGGAUUGUAACCC